GGGAUAAUUUCUUGAGGGUCACAACCUCAAUCCCCAUGAACUUAGGUGACUCUUUCUCUUCAAGCACUGGUUCUCCAUCAGCAGCAGCAGCCUCAGCCCUGCGAAUUGGGAAAAAUCUGUUUUUUUGACCAACCAAUUGUGGCUUUGUUGAAAAGCUUUGAACUUUUUGAAACCCAUCAGAGGAUAGAGAUAACCCUUCAAGGGAUUUGGGUUUGAGAGAAUUGAAUCUACGCCUAAGACCCCCUUGAGGUAUUGGGUAAAAUGCCCUGAUUAU
This 274-nucleotide unclassified non-coding RNA is filed under the name Hevea brasiliensis (rubber tree). The record is from RNAcentral. Lineage: Eukaryota; Viridiplantae; Streptophyta; Magnoliopsida; Malpighiales; Euphorbiaceae.